AAACUUAACACCAUGUUACAGAGAAAAUUUGUGGCAGAGUAAGGAACAGAAAAUAGGUCUCCUGACUUGUACUUUAGCACUGCUUCUAGUCUAGCACUACUCUGCCUCCAGUUGACGGAGAAAUUGGGUUGGACAUACUGUGAGAAGAAAAAGGGUUUCUUAUGAGUUUUCUGAUCUUUCUUAACUAUGGAUAGGUCAGAGAUAUAAGAAGAAUAGAUUUUCUUGUGGUAUUUCCACUUCAGGUCUUAACAAAAUAUGCACAAGUGGUUGGUUAUUCCAUUUUUCAUGAGCAAACAAAAAAUUCUCAACAGAUAAAAAUGAACCAUAUUUCUUAUAUACUUCAAAAAUGAUCAUUUUGAGUUUGGAUAAAGUUUUGAGUCAGCUUUACGGUAACUGGAUUUGUUUCUCCAUUCCUAGCAACUACUGACUGCAGGCUCUGGAAAUCCCCACAUUAAUUAGACAGAGAGAAAUCCUAGAAUUAGGGCCAAAUCAUCCAAGCAGCUGGAGGAAGAGGCGCUCCAUGCACUUCCUCAUGAGUCCUACUUCUAAGGGCACGUCUUCACUACCCGCCGGAUCGGCGGGUAGCAAUCGAUCUCUUGGGGAUCGACUUAUCAUGUCUAGUGAAGAUGCGAUAAAAUCGAUCCCUGACCGUUGACUCCGGAAAUCCACCGUGGCAAGAGGCGGAAGCGGAGUCGACAGCGGAGCGGCAGCGGUCGACUCGCCGCCGUCCUCACAGCCAGGUAAAUCGACCUAAAAUACGCAACUUCAGCUACACUAUUCACAUAGCUGAAGUUGCGUAUCUUAGGUUGAU
Molecule: long non-coding RNA, 811 nt
Filed under: Chrysemys picta bellii (western painted turtle)
Lineage: Eukaryota; Metazoa; Chordata; Testudines; Emydidae
Description: lncRNA (ENSCPBG00000006850.1)
Source: RNAcentral